GACGAACGCUGGCGGCGUGCUUAACACAUGCAAGUCGAACGGAAAGGCCCUGCUUUUGUGGGGUGCUCGAGUGGCGAACGGGUGAGUAACACGUGAGUAACCUGCCCUUGACUUUGGGAUAACUUCAGGAAACUGGGGCUAAUACCGGAUAGGAGCUCCUGCUGCAUGGUGGGGGUUGGAAAGUUUCGGCGGUUGGGGAUGGACUCGCGGCUUAUCAGCUUGUUGGUGGGGUAGUGGCUUACCAAGGCUUUGACGGGUAGCCGGCCUGGGAGGGUGACCGGCCACAUUGGGACUGAGAUACGGCGCAGAAUGCAACGGGAGGCAGCAGUGGGGAAUAUGGCACAAUGGGCGGAAGCCUGAUGCGACAGCGCCGCGUGCGGGAUGACGGCCUUCGGGUUGUAAACCGCUUUCGCCUGUGACGAAGCGUGAGUGACGGUAAUGGGUAAAGAAGCACCGGCUAACUACGUG
Molecule: ribosomal RNA, 468 nt
Filed under: uncultured bacterium
Lineage: Bacteria
Description: partial 16S ribosomal RNA
Rfam family: Bacterial small subunit ribosomal RNA
Source: RNAcentral